Molecule: ribosomal RNA, 684 nt
Filed under: Desulfobacca acetoxidans
Lineage: Bacteria; Pseudomonadati; Thermodesulfobacteriota; Desulfobaccia; Desulfobaccales; Desulfobaccaceae
Description: bacterial SSU rRNA
Rfam family: Bacterial small subunit ribosomal RNA
Source: RNAcentral
UUCAAUUGGAGAGUUUGAUCCUGGCUCAGAAUUAACGCUGGCGGCAUGCCUAACACAUGCAAGUCGAGCGAGAAACCGCCCUUCGGGGCGGGAGUACAGCGGCGCACGGGUGAGUAGCGCGUGGGUAAUCUACCUCUGUCUGGGGGAUAACACACCGAAAGGUGUGCUAAUACCGCAUAAUCUGGCCAACCUGCGGGGAAGCCGGCAAAGAUGGCCUCUUGAUCAAAGCUGUCGGAUGGAGAUGAGCCCGCGUCCCAUUAGCUAGUUGGUAGGGUAACGGCCUACCAAGGCGACGAUGGGUAGCUGGUCUGAGAGGACGACCAGCCACACUGGAACUGGAACACGGUCCAGACUCCUACGGGAGGCAGCAGUGAGGAAUAUUGCGCAAUGGGGGAAACCCUGACGCAGCGAUGCCGCGUGGGUGAAGAAGGCUUUCGGGUCGUAAAGCCCUGUCAGGUGGGAAGAAUGGCUUCUUAUUGAACAGAUAGGAAGCAUGACGGUACCACCGAAGGAAGCACCGGCUAACUCCGUGCCAGCAGCCGCGGUAAGACGGAGGGUGCAAGCGUUAUUCGGAAUCAUUGGGCGUAAAGAGCGUGUAGGCGGCCGGUUAAGUCAGGUGUGAAAGCCCGGGGCUCAACCUCGGAAGUGCACUUGAAACUGGUCGGCUUGAGUUCGGGAGAGGGA